CAUUAUAACUACAGCUACAUUAUAACUACAGCUACAUUAUAACUACAGCUACAUUAUAACAACAGCUACAUUAUAACUCCAGCUACAUUAUAACUACAGCUACACUAUAACUAUAGCUACAUUAUAACCACAUCCUCUAUCUAUAACCUACAGUCGUAGCCAAAAGUUUUGAGAAUGACACAAAUAUACAUUUUCACAGUCUGCUGCUUCAGUUUGUAUGAUGGCAAUUUGCAUAUACUCCAAAAUGUUAGGAAGAAUGAUCAAAUGAAUUGCAAUUAAUUGCAAAGUCCCUCUUUUCCAUGCAAAUGAACUGAAUCCCCCCAAAAACAUUCCCACUGCAUUUCAGCCCUGCCACAAAAGGACACAGGUGUGAAUGUUGACGCGGACAAUGCUGGAGAUCACUCUGUCAUGCUGAUUGAGUUUGAAUAACAGACUGGAAGCUUCAAAAGGAGGGUGGUGCUUGGAAUCAUUGUUCUUCCUCUGUCAAACAUGGUUACCUGCAAGGAAACACGUGCCGUCAUCAUUGCUUUGCACAAAAAGGGCUUCACAGGCAAGGAUAUUACUGCCAGUAAGAUUGCAUAUACUCCAACUGUUGUGAAGAAGGCUUCAGGGCAACCAAGAAAGUCCAGCGAGCGCCAGGACCAUCUCCUAAAGUUGAUUCAGCUGCUGGAUCGGGGCACCACCAGUACAGAGCUCAGGAAUGGCAGCAGGCAGGUGUGAGUGCAUCUGCAUCAGGUGUGAGGCGAAGACUUUUGGAGGAAGGCCUGGUGUCAAGAAGGGCAGCAAAGAAGCCACUUCUCUCCAGGAAUAAAUCAGGGACAGACUGAUAUUCUGCAAAAGGUACAGAGAUUGGACUGCUGAGGACUAGGGUAAAGUCAUUUUCUCUGAUGAAUCCCCUUUCCGAUUGUUUGGGGCAUCCGGAAAAAAGCUUGUCCGGAGAAGACAAGGUGAGUGCUACCAUCAGUCCUGUGUCAUGCCAACAGUAAAGCAUCCUGAGAACAUUCAUGUGUGGGGUUGCUUCUCAGCCAAGGGAGUGGGCUCACUCACAAUACUGCCUAAGAACACAGCCAUGAAUAAAGAAUGGUACCAACACAUCCUCCAAGAGCAACUUCUCCCAACCAUUCAGGAACAGUUUGGUUACGAACAAUACCUUUUCCAGCAUGAUGGAGCACCUUGCCAUAAGGCAAAAGUGAUAACUAAGUGGCUCGGGGAACAAAACAUAGAUAUUUUGGGUCCAUGGCCAGGAAACUCCCCAAACCUUAAUCCCAUUGAGAACAAUCCUCAAGGGGCGGGUGGACAAUGUCACACCCUGACCUUAGUUAUCUUUGUUUUCUUUAUUAUUUUGGUUAGGUCAGGGUGUGAUGAGGGUGGUAUGUGUGUCUCUGGUUUGUUGUACAUCUAUGGGGAUUUGGUUUGUCUAGGUAAAUGUAGGUCUAUGGUGGCCUGAAUUGGUUCCCAAUCAGAGGCAGCUGUUUGUUGUUGUCUCUGAUUGGGGAUCCUAUUUAGGUUGCCAUUUUCCAUUUUGGUCUAUGUGUAGUUGCAUGUCAGCACUCGUUAUUAUUAGCUUCACGUUGGUUUUGUUAUUUUGUUAGUUUGUUUAGUGUUCUUCGUGUUCUUCGUAAAUAAAGAAGAAUGUAUUCAAAUCACGCUGCGCCUUGGUCUCAUCGUUACGACGAACGUGACAGACAAACAAAAACCCACAAAUUCUGUUAAACUCCAAGCAUUAAUUAUGCAAGAAUGGGCUGCCAUCAGUCAGGAUGUGGCCCAGAAGUUAAUUGGCAGCAUGCCAGGGCGGAUUGCAGAGGUCUUGAAAAAGAAGGGUCAACACUGCAAAUAUUGACUCUUUGCAUCAACUUCAUAUAAUUGUCAAUAAAAGCCUUUGACACUUAUGAAAUGCUUGUAAUUAUACUUCAGUAUUCCAUUGUAACAUCUGACAAAAAUAUCUAAAGACACUGAAGCAGCAAACAUGUGAAAAUUAAUAUUUGUGUCAUUCUCAAAACUUUUGGCCAUGACUGUAUGUUAGAAUAUUUAAAUGUUCAAUGGGAUUUCUCUCUGUCCAUCAUUUCUAUUUCAUUUUUCUGUGUCUUCUGUUGCUGUCUCUUUCAUCCUCCAUGCUGUCUCUACUGAUAUGCUCCCUCAGAGCGCUGGUUCCAUAUUUCACCAUAUCUAGUGAGAUGUGUUGUAUUUGCCCAGGCCUAAUAUGAAGGAAGAAACCCCAUGGGGGGGAAGGAGAGACAUUGACAGAGACAUAAAGAGAAGAGAGAGAGAGACAGGGCUCGGUGAUAUGAGAAAAAUAUCAUAUCACAAUAUUUUUCGACGUUUUGACGGUAUGAGGGUAUUUGAACCCUGUUUUUCUUGAUAUCCAAUUGCGAUCCAAUUACUAUCUUGUCUCAUUGCUGCAACUCCCCAACGGGCUCGGGCUCGGGAGAGGCGAAGGUCGAGUCAUGCAUCCUCUGAAACAUGACCCGGCAAGCCUCGCUCCUUAACACCCUCCAGUUUAACCCGGGAACCCAGCCCUACCAACGUGUCGGAGGAAACACCGUUCAACUGACGACCGAAGUCAGCUUGCAGGCGACCAGCCCGCCACAAGGAGUCGCUAGAGCGCGAUGAGCCAAGUAAAUGACAAAGCAAAAACUGUUUUUUAUAAUUGUUUGUAAAUGUAUCAACAAAAAAAACUUGAAAUAUGACAUUUACCUAAGUAUUCAGACCCUUUACUCAGUACUUUGUUGAAGCACCUUUAGCUACGAUUACAUCCACGAGUCUUCUUGGGUAUGACGCUACAAGCUUGGCACAUCUCUAUCUGGGGAGUUUCUCCCAUUCUUCUCUGUAGAUCCUCUCAAGCUCUGUCAGGUUGGAUGAGGAGCGUUGCUGCAUAGCUAUUUUCAGGUCUCUCCAGUUAUGUUCAAUAUCCAUCUGGCCACUCAACCAUAAAGACCUGAUUGGUGGAGUGUUGCAAAGAUGGUUGUCCUUCUGGAAUGUUCUCCCAUCUCCACAGAGGAACUCUGGAGCUCUGUCAGAGUGACCAUCAGGGCCCUUCUCCACGGAUUGCUCAGUUUGGCCGGGCGGCCAGCUCUAGGAAGAGUCUUGGUGGUUCCAAACGUCUUCCAUUUAAGAGUAAUGGAGGCCACUGUGUUCUUGGGGACCUUCAUUAUUGCAGAAAUUUGUUGGUAACCUUCCCCAGACCUGUGCCUUGACACAAUCCUGUCUCAGAGAUCUACGGACAAUUCCUUCGACCUCAUGGCUUCAAUUUGGCUCUGACAUGCACUGAUACCUGACAUGCACUGGGAACUUAUAUAGACAGGUUUGUGCCUUGCCAAAUAAUGUCCAAUCAAGGCUGCAUGAUCGAAUCCUACCCUGUGGGGCUCUGUGGAGGAGUCUGCAUGAUAGAUUCCUACCCUGUGGAAAGUCUGUGGAGGAGUCUGCAUGAUAGAUUCCUACCCUGUGGAAACUCUGUGGAGGAGUCUGCAUGAUAGAUUCCUACCCUGUGGAAACUCUGUGGAGGAGUCUGCAUGAUAGAUUCCUACCCUGUGGAAACUCUGUGGAGGAGUCUGCAUGAUAGAUUCCUACCCUGUGGAAACUCUGUGGAAGAGUCUGCAUGAUAGAUUCCUACCCUGUGGAAACUCUGUGGAAGAGUCUGCAUGAUAGAUUCCUACCCUGUGGGGCUCUGUGGAGGAGUCUGCAUAAUAGAUUCCUACCCUAUGGGGCUCUGUGGAGGAGUCUGCAUGAUAGAUUCCUACCCUGUGGGGCUCUGUGGAGGAGUCUGUAUGAUAGAUUCCUACCCUAUGGGGCUCUGUGGAGGAGUCUGCAUGAUAGAUUCCUACCCUGUGGAACUCUGUGUCUGAUAAAUUGUGCUGUUUCAAAGGUCAAACAGCAUCUGCAGAGCAGCACUUCUAUUACUUGCCUCCCAUCCACCACCCUCUUCCUCCUCUCACUCCUCUCACUCCUCUAUUACUGUCAUCCCAACACCUUCCUCUCCUCCAUCACUCUCACUCCCAAUCAGCCAGGGAGGGGUGAGAGGGGACAGACCCUGGUGGAGCUAUGCACCACCCCACCCCUAUACCUCUGUCUCAGCCCUCCUUAACCCUGCACCCCAUCCAUCCACAUCCCUAACUCAAAGCCGGCCUAGACAGUGUUAACACACACACACACACACACACACACACAGGUUUAAUAAAUCAGCCUGGUGCUAAUGGAGCUGAGGGGGUCUUGUAAAGAGGGAUCACAUUUCUACUCUCGCUGCUGCCGCUAUAUUGAUAGUGUGCAUGUGUCCAUGUAUUAAUAGCCCAUGGCUUUGCAGUGUCCGCCAGGCUAGUGUCAGAGCAGGUGAUAUAUGGGUGGCCAACUGGUGAUGGGGACCUUCUUCUGUGAUGUAUGUGUCUGUUGUGAUGAAGAUGUAGGGUGUGUGUGUGUGUGUGUGUGUAUGUGUGCGUGCGUGCGUACGUGUGCGUGUGUGUAUUCCAUUCUAUAUUGUAUUCUAUCCAUGCCUAAUCUGCACCUCUGAUUUACAAAGACACAGCAGCUAGAGCCUGCAUGCAGCCACAGCCUCUGGCUCAAAGACAUCUCAGUGUUUUUUACUUCCCUAUCUACAGUGGUGUAAAGUACUUCAAAUAAAAAAUACUUUAAAGUACUACUCCAAUAGUUUUUUGGGGGUAUCUGUACUUUACUUUACUAUUUAUAUUUUUGACAACUUUUACUUCACUACAUUACUAAAGAAAAUAAUGUGGGGCGGCAGGGUAGCCUAGUGGUUAGAGAGUUGGACUAGUUAACAAAAGGUUACAAGUUCAAAUCCCCGAGCUGACACGGCACAAAUCUGUCAUUCUGCCCCUGAACAGGGUGUUCCUAGGCUGUCAUUGAAAAUAAGAAUUUGUUCUUAAUUGACUUUCCUGGUUAAAUAAAGAUAUAAAAAUGUGUUUUUUACUCCAUACAUUUUCCCUGACACACAAAAGUCCUCCAGUAUUUGGAAUGCUUAGCAGGACAAGAAAAGGUUGUAAUUCAUUCACUUAUCAAGAUAGCAUCCCAGGGCCCUCAUUUAUCAAUGUUGUGUAUGAACAGACAUGUUUGUAAACCAUGCGUGCCAGAAUGUCUAAGCAAAGUGUGGAAGUUAUCCGUUUGUACUUAUACUUGAGAAUGUGCGUACAUUUAAGCACACCUCUUGACCAUGAGUACCCACAGCACCUUGUUGUAGAAAAGUCAAACGUCUAAUGAAAAACCAUCCACCAAAUGGAGAAAGGAUUGACAUACUGGACCAAAUCAUCAACUAUGAAGAAAAAAGAUAUCACAUGAAUAGUUCAUUAAUGUAUUUCUUUUAUAGACACUUAAGUUGCUAAUAGUUUUCUCAGGGGUGUUGACGAAUUCAUAAACAUGAAACCAUUUAAGCCGAAUUGAAUAAUAAAGUCAAUUUGAAAGAGAGUGGAAUGUAAGGUCGGAGGCAAUUGAGUUAAACCAGUUAAAUAACAUAAAAGGCAACACUGAGGCGUUGUGACUUGGUGGAGGAUCUGACACAAGCUGCAUUACACAGGGAGAGUGUUUUCAAUGAGCGUGCAGAUUUAUUUUUGCUGACUUGCGACGCUUGGUUUAUUAGUAGAUGUAGUUUUCCAGGGCAUGUUUUAUUGUAUCGCUGCGACCAACUCUCUCCAGUAUUAGAAAGGGAGACGAAACGCACCAAUACCAACCCAGUGCAAACCCAAGUCCUCUCCACCCUGGGAUUUAUGGCCACUGGAACAUUCCAACGGGUAGAUUGCGGAUCGAUCUGGCAUUUCACAACCAACCAUGAGCCGGAUAUUUCCUGCAGUCCUUCGUGGUAUUAUUUAAUUGACCCCCACAAUACAUACAGUUUCCUUCACUGCUGUGCAACAGGCCAGAGUGAAAAGGGAUUUCUGGAUUUACAAAAGUCGCAGGAACAAUUGACUGCAUCCACAUCACAAUAAAAGCACCAUCAUUGAACGAAUUGAACUUAGUCAACAGAAAAGGUUUCCAUUCUGUCAACGUGCAGGUCAUCUGUGAUUCACAUUUGGCUUUGUUGAAUGUGGUGGCCAGAUGGCCAGGUGGGACACAUGAUUCAUUCAUUGUGCAGAACAGCUCAGUUGGGCCUUAACCUCCAGGAAGGAUCUGUUGAGGACGGACGGCUCAUUGGUAAGUGACUUGUUUUAUUUGCAAGGUUUUAUUGUUAGACCUCUACUGGGAAACAAUAUCUGAAUGUUGUGUUCAUAACUGCAGGAGACCUAUGAACAACAUGGCUGCUGACUCACAAACCCCUCAAGCCAACAAGAGGCCAGGUACAACCAAGCCCACACACACACCAGAACAACAGUGGAGCGCACCAUAGGCCUGCUGAAAGGGCGUUGUGCUUGUCUGGGACAGGAGACACACUGCAAUACCAGCAUAGCAAAGUUUGCCUCUGAAAUGAUAUUCCUUCAAAUGCCAUUACGUGAAUGUAAUACAAUGUGCAUAAUUCCUUUUUAGGUUUGCUACAUUGUCAAGGCUUGCAGUGUGCUCCACAACAUUACAAUCAAAAAUGGCAUUCCACUGAAUGAUCCACUCAGACCCGGUGAGCCCAUGCCUGACAGGGAGUGUUUCCCACCACCCAUAGCUCUGGCACUGAGGACCAGAGUCAACAUCAUACAACGCUUUUAGGACUGCGUCAGACAAAACAUAGCGGAGCAGCUGAAGCGCUCGCCAAAGAGGACACCCUUCUGGUAGGCCUGGGGCAGAGGGGUCAGAGGACACCCUUCUGGUAGGCCUGGGGCAGAGGAGUCAGAGGACCCCCUUCUGGUAGGCCUGGGGAUGAGGGGUCAGAGGUCACCCAUCUGGUAGGCCUGGGGCAGAGGGGUCAGAGGACACCCUUCUGGUAGGCCUGGGGCAGAGGGGUCAGAGGACACCCUUCUGGUAGGCCUGGGGCAGAGGGGUCAGAGGACACCCUUCUGGUAGGCCUGGGGAUGAGGGGUCAGAGGACACCCUUCUGGUAGACCUGGGACUGAGGGGUCAGAGGACCCCCUUCUGGUAGGCCUGGGACUGAGGGGUCAGAGGACCCCCUUCUGGUAGGCCUGGGGCAGAGGGGUCAGAGGACACCCUUCUGGUAGGCCUGGGGAUGAGGGGUCAGAGGACACCCUUCUGGUAGGCCUGGGGCAGAGGGGUCAGAGGUCACCCUUCUGGUAGGCCUGGGGCAGAGGGGUCAGAGGACCCCCUUCUGGUAGGCCUGGGGCAGAGGGGUCAGAGGACACCCUUCUGGUAGGCCUGGGGCAGAGGGGUCAGAGGACACCCUUCUGGUAGGCCUGGGGCAGAGGGGUCAGAGGACACCCUUCUUGUAGGCCUGGGGCAGAGGGGUCAGAGGACACCCUUCUGGUAGGCCUGGGGAUGAGGGGUCAGAGGACACCCUUCUGGUAGGCCUGGGACUGAGGGGUCAGAGGACACCCUUCUGGUAGGCCUGGGACUGAGGGGUCAGAGGACCCCCUUCUGGUAGGCCUGGGGAUGAGGGGUCAGAGGACACCCUUCUGGUACGCCUGGGGCAGAAGGGUCAGAGGACACCCUUCUGGUAGGCCUGGGGCAGAGGGGUCAGAGGACCCCCUUCUGGUAGGCCUGGGACAGAGGGGUCAGAGGACACCCUUCUGGUAGGCCUGGGACUGAGGGGUCAGAUGACCCCCUUCUGGUAGGCCUGGGACUGAGGGGUCAGAGUACCCCCUUCUGGUAGGCCUGGGGAUGAGGGGUCUGGCAAAUCACCCACAUCUGUCAAGAUUUCAUGUUUUGUAAUUUUUGUUAUAUUAAUUUUGUAACAUUUAUUUAGUUACAUAUAUUUGUUAUAUUUAUUGUCAAGAAAAAAUAUUGAGAUGUGGUCCAUGUCUGAAGAUGGUUGUGAAAAUAAAGCUUGACUUACCAUCA
Molecule: long non-coding RNA, 7875 nt
Organism: Oncorhynchus nerka (sockeye salmon)
Lineage: Eukaryota; Metazoa; Chordata; Actinopteri; Salmoniformes; Salmonidae
Exons: 2
Source: RefSeq, a predicted model, not a curated record